CUAUAUGUUUUUUUUGUUUAUUUGUUUAUUGAAGAUUUAACAAUAUGCUUCAAGAUAACCGUGGCGAACAUAGCAAACGACUGAGACGAUUGAACUUUGAGUGUUUUAAUUUUGCCGUGACUUUAGUAAGCAAUCGCGCAUUUGCAAUUCAUUAUUAAAAAGCAUUUUGGGAAUUAAAAAAGUGAUUGUGAUCACACUGUGAAUUCCUGUUCUUUACAGAAAAAGAUUGAAAAAAGUCAUUGAUGAAUCAUGAUGCAAAACUUAUAAACUAAUUUAUGGAAAAACUAAUCGCUUCUAUUUCUUACCUUGAACAUUCACGAUCUUUAAAAUUUGUUGAAUAAUAAAGUGGUAAAGAUAAUCAGGUGGUUUAAGAGGAAGUUAUAAGUAUUUUUUUUUAACAGCUUGUGAAUGAUGUAAUUGUUAUCGACUUCCCAAGAUUCUGCUACAAACGUUAGGCUUUUUUGGGAUUUAAUAAGAAACUUAGAUGCUCGGUCACCUACUUGAGCAAUUGCACGUUCAAAAUCGUCAAGGUGAAUACAGUUUUCCUAAAUUUCGUUCUUAAUGCAGCAUCCUUAAUAAACAAAAUACGCUUGAUCCAGAAAACCAUUCUAUCCAACGUAAUUUAGAGCGAUAUCCCUUGAUGCGGAAUAAUUUCCUUUUUAGCUUAAGAACCACGAUUAAUGAAUGGUGCAAUUCAUCCAGAAUGGAAUCUUAUGAUUAACCGUCUUAACAUGUCUCAAUAGGAAGCAGAGGAACUGGAUUAUAAGUCAUAGGUCAGUUUUAUCGUAAAAACGUUUGCAGCUUUGUUCUAUAGUUUUUUCCAGUUUUGUAUAAAGAAUUCUUUACAUAAACUUGUGUUGUUUUACAAAAAGUGUCACAAACCGGGAUCGAACCGAUGACCAACAGAUCUUCAGUCUGUCAUGCUCCC
This is a non-coding RNA of Schizosaccharomyces pombe (fission yeast), 928 nucleotides long. NCBI's taxonomy places the organism in Eukaryota, Fungi, Ascomycota, Schizosaccharomycetes, Schizosaccharomycetales, Schizosaccharomycetaceae. The record is from the annotation of a GenBank genome assembly.